UACGUAGGGUGCGAGCGUUGUCCGGAAUUACUGGGCGUAAAGAGUUCGUAGGCGGUUUGUCGCGUCGUUCGUGAAAACUUGGGGCUUAACUCCAAGCGUGCGGGCGAUACGGGCAGACUUGAGUACUACAGGGGAGACUGGAAUUCCUGGUGUAGCGGUGAAAUGCGCAGAUAUCAGGAGGAACACCGGUGGCGAAGGCGGGUCUCUGGGUAGUAACUGACGCUGAGGAACGAAGGCGUGGGUAGCGAACAGG
This 253-nucleotide ribosomal RNA is filed under the name uncultured bacterium. RNAcentral's name for it is "partial 16S ribosomal RNA". It matches the Rfam family "Bacterial small subunit ribosomal RNA", at positions 524 to 776 of the family's 1533-position model. The record is from RNAcentral.